Long non-coding RNA from Rhinichthys klamathensis goyatoka, 336 nucleotides. RefSeq lists it as uncharacterized. NCBI's taxonomy places the organism in Eukaryota, Metazoa, Chordata, Actinopteri, Cypriniformes, Leuciscidae. The transcript is spliced from 3 exons. The record is from RefSeq and is a predicted model, not a curated record.
CAUUCAAGAUAUUCAGUCAUGAUUCCUGGCCAGAGCAACGAGAGCUGACAGACUAUGGUGCAGAGGAGCUGGACUUCCUGCUAGACCACUUCAACUCUGUCUUUAACAAGAAAUGGCUGUGAUUCCAAUCUGGCUAGAGAGGAGUAUCAAUCCAUGAAGACAUUCAUCUUUAGGAACUACAUGGACAAGUCUUACCAUGCCUUAUGGGAGAUGAUGGUAACAAAGUUGCCAUUCUGCUCUGAUUACAAGAACAUCCUACAUCUUGUGCACAUCAUGCUGGUCCUCCCAGUCUCCUCUUCUGUAUGUGAAAGGGGAUUUUCUGCUCAGAAGAGGAUU